This 505-nucleotide ribosomal RNA is filed under the name uncultured bacterium. RNAcentral's name for it is "partial 16S ribosomal RNA". It matches the Rfam family "Bacterial small subunit ribosomal RNA", at positions 28 to 507 of the family's 1533-position model. The record is from RNAcentral.
GACGAACGCUGGCGGCGUGCCUAAUACAUGCAAGUAGAACGCACAGUUUAUACCGUAGCUUGCUCCACCAUAGACUGUGAGUUGCGAACGGGUGAGUAACGCGUAGGUAACCUGCCUGGUAGCGGGGGAUAACUAUUGGAAACGAUAGCUAAUACCGCAUAAUAUUAAUUAUUGCAUGAUAAUUAAUUGAAAGGUGCAAUUGCACCACUACCAGAUGGACCUGCGUUGUAUUAGCUAGUAGGUGAGGUAACGGCUCACCUAGGCGACGAUACAUAGCCGACCUGGGAGGGUGAUCGGCCACACUGGGACUGAGACACGGCCCAGACUCCUACGGGAGGCAGCAGUAGGGAAUCUUCGGCAAUGGACGAAAGUCUGACCGAGCAACGCCGCGUGAGUGAAGAAGGUUUUCGGAUCGUAAAGCUCUGUUGUAAGAGAAGAACGGGUGUGAGAGUGGAAAGUUCACACUGUGACGGUAUCUUACCAGAAAGGGACGGCUAACUACGUG